UACGUAGGGUCCAAGCGUUAUCCGGAAUCACUGGGCGUAAAGCGUGCGUAGGCGGCGUGUUAAGUGUAAUGCGAAAUCCUGUGGCUCAACCAUAUGGACUGUAUUGCAUACUGGCAUGCUUGAGGAUGGUAGAGGCAAGUGGAACUGGUAGUGUAGCAGUGAAAUGCGUAGAUAUUACCAAGAACACCAAUGGCGAAGGCAGCUUGCUGGGCCACACCUGACGCUAAGGCACGAAAGCGUGGGGAGCGAACAGG
RNAcentral lists this ribosomal RNA (254 nucleotides) under uncultured bacterium. RNAcentral describes it as "partial 16S ribosomal RNA". It matches the Rfam family "Bacterial small subunit ribosomal RNA", at positions 524 to 776 of the family's 1533-position model. The record is from RNAcentral.